CCUCCUGUAUGCUGGGCAUUUGAUUCUGUAACUUCAUGAUGCAGUGGUUUAUCAGCUAUAAAUUGUAGUGCCAUUGGUAAAUUUUUGCCAUGCGCAUAUGCAUGGAGUUUAAGCCUUUAAAAGCCCUUUGUUGAAAAAUUGCGAAGGACAGGACUAUAUCUUGACUUCCAUUUUCUGGGCCCUCUUUAGUUAGGACCAGCAUUGGG
This 206-nucleotide unclassified non-coding RNA is filed under the name Hevea brasiliensis (rubber tree). The record is from RNAcentral. Lineage: Eukaryota; Viridiplantae; Streptophyta; Magnoliopsida; Malpighiales; Euphorbiaceae.